This 465-nucleotide ribosomal RNA is filed under the name Vreelandella stevensii. Its description in RNAcentral is "partial 16S ribosomal RNA". It matches the Rfam family "Bacterial small subunit ribosomal RNA", at positions 338 to 795 of the family's 1533-position model. Lineage: Bacteria; Pseudomonadati; Pseudomonadota; Gammaproteobacteria; Oceanospirillales; Halomonadaceae. The record is from RNAcentral.
CCUACGGGGGGCAGCAGUGGGGAAUAUUGGACAAUGGGGGGAACCCUGAUCCAGCCAUGCCGCGUGUGUGAAGAAGGCCCUCGGGUUGUAAAGCACUUUCAGUGAGGAAGAACGCCUGGUGGUUAAUACCCAUCAGGAAAGACAUCACUCACAGAAGAAGCACCGGCUAACUCCGUGCCAGCAGCCGCGGUAAUACGGAGGGUGCGAGCGUUAAUCGGAAUUACUGGGCGUAAAGCGCGCGUAGGUGGCUUGAUAAGCCGGUUGUGAAAGCCCCGGGCUCAACCUGGGAACGGCAUCCGGAACUGUCAAGCUAGAGUGCCGGAGAGGAAGGUAGAAUUCCCAGUGUAGCGGUGAAAUGCGUAGAGAUCGGGAGGAAUACCAGUGGCGAAGGCGGCCUUCUGGACUGACACUGACACUGAGGUGCGAAAGCGUGGGUAGCAAACAGGAUUAGAUACCCUAGUAGUC